This is a transfer RNA of Ovis aries (sheep), 72 nucleotides long. It matches the Rfam family "tRNA". From Rfam's summary of the family: Transfer RNA (tRNA) molecules are approximately 80 nucleotides in length. Their secondary structure includes four short double-helical elements and three loops (D, anti-codon, and T loops). NCBI's taxonomy places the organism in Eukaryota, Metazoa, Chordata, Mammalia, Artiodactyla, Bovidae. The record is from Rfam.
UCCCUGGUGGCUCAGAUGGUAAAGCGUCUGCCUACAAGGUAGGAGACCCGGGUUCGAUUCCUGGGUUGGGAA